CCUUUCAGCUCCUUCCUGUGGCUUACACGGCCCUGCUUCAUCUGGCCUCUGCCCUGUGCCAAGUUCUCCUUGAGCCCUGGUCUCCCUCCCUCUCUACACUGAGCCCUUUCUGGAACUUGCAGUGCCGUCCUGCCUGAGGCCUUCUUGCCUGGAAUACAUUCCUUCCUCUCCACAGAGCAACCAUCUUCCUCAGC
Molecule: non-coding RNA, 194 nt
Organism: Ceratotherium simum simum (southern white rhinoceros)
Lineage: Eukaryota; Metazoa; Chordata; Mammalia; Perissodactyla; Rhinocerotidae
Source: RefSeq, a predicted model, not a curated record